CCGCCCAUCAUUGGGGAGUAGCCGCCCGCCGAUUUUGAGCGGGCGCCGCGUCAACAGACUUGGGCCCCGCCGGUGCUUCACCGGUGCGGCCCAUGGCGCGUGCGACCGAUCCGCCCUGCGCGGAU
This 125-nucleotide small RNA is filed under the name Nitrospirillum amazonense. Its description in RNAcentral is "Manganese sequence". The stretch from base 1 to 111 matches the Rfam family "Manganese Mn2+ riboswitch aptamer (yybP-ykoY)". Rfam says of the family: This RNA was originally discovered in E. coli during a large scale screen and was named SraF. The family was later found to exist upstream of related families of protein genes in many bacteria, including the the yybP and ykoK genes in B. subtilis. Lineage: Bacteria; Pseudomonadati; Pseudomonadota; Alphaproteobacteria; Rhodospirillales; Azospirillaceae. The record is from RNAcentral.